GGGCAUAUGGCGGAAUUGGUAGACGCGCUUGACUCAAAAUCAAGUUCUAACGAGUGUGGGUUCGAGUCCCACUUUGCCCACCA
RNAcentral lists this transfer RNA (83 nucleotides) under Rickettsiales bacterium. Its description in RNAcentral is "tRNA-Leu". It matches the Rfam family "tRNA". Rfam says of the family: Transfer RNA (tRNA) molecules are approximately 80 nucleotides in length. Lineage: Bacteria; Pseudomonadati; Pseudomonadota; Alphaproteobacteria; Rickettsiales. The record is from RNAcentral.